Molecule: ribosomal RNA, 253 nt
Filed under: uncultured prokaryote
Description: partial 16S ribosomal RNA
Rfam family: Bacterial small subunit ribosomal RNA
Source: RNAcentral
ACGUAGGUGGCAAGCGUUGUCCGGAAUUAUUGGGCGUAAAGCGCGCGCAGGCGGUCCUUUAAGUCUGAUGUGAAAGCCCUGGGCUCAACCUGGGAAUGGCACUGGAUACUGGCAAGCUAGAGUGUGGCAGAGGGUAGUGGAAUUCCUGGUGUAGCAGUGAAAUGCGUAGAGAUCAGGAGGAACAUCCGUGGCGAAGGCGACUGCCUGGGCCAACACUGACACUGAGGCACGAAAGCGUGGGGAGCAAACAGGA